Molecule: long non-coding RNA, 430 nt
Filed under: Setaria viridis
Lineage: Eukaryota; Viridiplantae; Streptophyta; Magnoliopsida; Poales; Poaceae
Description: long non-coding RNA (SVIR_LNC005502)
Source: RNAcentral
ACCAAUCAACCAGUUACGGAAGCUCUCCGAUCCAAGCACCAUUCCAAUCGGCUAUCCGGCUGACAAUCCCACAAUAUCAACCGGCCUCAUCAGAAAUCGGCAGGGGGCAGACACUGCAGAAACACUCAGAGGCGCGGCGCCGAUGAUGCUGUACGAUGGGACGACAGAUUCGCUACGCCACCAACUGUCAACUGCUCAACCGGCCACGUUGCCGCAAAAUCCGCCACACGCUUUGAUCCAUCACCCGGCCAUCCCACCGCCGAUCCAUCAGCAUGUGCCAAUCCCUCAACCAGUCAUUCAUCAGCAGCAAGUGGAUUGAACAGCAAGGAUAGCAGAGGUGAUUCAAGAUCAAUUCGGGUUGAAGCCGAAGGUACAGACCUAUACGUACAAGAUGCCAUAUCCACCUGCCUACGACCUGCUGCCAUUUCCC